GGGUAAGGUGUUGGGAUCUCUUGGUGUUAUGGGUAAGGUGUUGGGAUCUCUUGGUGUUAUGGGUAAGGUGUUGGGAUCUCUUGGUGUUAUGGGUAAGGUGUUGGGAUCUCUUGGUGUUAUGGGUAAGGUGUUGGGAUCUCUUGGUGUUAUGGGUAAGGUGUUGGGAUCUCUUGGUGUUAUGGGUAAGGUGUUGGGAUCUCUUGGUGUUAUGGGUAAGGUGUUGGGAUCUCUUGGUGUUAUGGGUAAGGUGUUGGGAUCUCUUGGUGUUAUGGGUAAGGUGUUGGGAUCUCUUGGUGUUAUGGGUAAGGUGUUGGGAUCUCUUGGUGUUAUGGGUAAGGUGUUGGGAUCUCUUGGUGUUAUGGGUAAGGUGUUGGGAUCUCUUGGUGUCAUGGGUAAGGUGUUGGGAUCUCUUGGUGUUAUGGGUAAGGUGUUGGGAUCUCUUGGUGUUAUGGGUAAGGUGUUGGGAUCUCUUGGUGUUAUGGGUAAGGUGUUGGGAUCUCUUGGUGUCAUGGGUAAGGUGUUGGGAUCUCUUGGUGUUAUGGGUAAGGUGUUGGGAUCUCUUGGUGUUAUGGGUAAGGUGUUGGGAUCUCUUGGUGUUAUGGGUAAGGUGUUGGGAUCUCUUGGUGUUAUGGGUAAGGUGUUGGGAUCUCUUGGUGUUAUGGGUAAGGUGUUGGGAUCUCUUGGUGUUAUGGGUAAGGGGUUGGGAUCUCUUGGUGUUAUGGGUAAGGUGUUGGGUUGACAGUCGCUGGGGAUCUCUUGGUGUUAUGGGUAAGGUGUUGGGAUCUCUUGGUGUUAUGGGUAAGGUGUUGGGUUGACAGUCGCUGGGGAUCUCUUGGUGUUAUGGGUAAGGUGUUGGGAUCUCUUGGUGUUAUGGGUAAGGUGUUGGGAUCUCUUGGUGUCAUGGGUAAGGUGUUGGGUUGACAGUCGCUGGGGAUCUCUUGGUGUUAUGGGUAAGGUGUUGGGAUCUCUUGGUGUUAUGGGUAAGGUGUUGGGAUCUCUUGGUGUUAUGGGUAAGGUGUUGGGAUCUCUUGGUGUUAUGGGUAAGGUGUUGGGAUCUCUUGGUGUUAUGGGUAAGGUGUUGGGAUCUCUUGGUGUUAUGGGUAAGGUGUUGGGAUCUCUUGGUGUUAUGGGUAAGGUGUUGGGAUCUCUUGGUGUUAUGGGUAAGGUGUUGGGUUGACAGUCGCUGGGGAUCUCUUGGUGUUAUGGGUAAGGUGUUGGGAUCUCUUGGUGUUAUGGGUAAGGUGUUGGGAUCUCUUGGUGUUAUGGGUAAGGUGUUGGGAUCUCUUGGUGUCAUGGGUAAGGUGUUGGGUUGACAGUCGCUGGGCCCAGGUUUGAGAUUCGGCCAGGGCUACCCUUCGAAUUCUCUACAAUAUGUUAUUACAAUGAUCGCCACCAAUGG
Molecule: long non-coding RNA, 1399 nt
Organism: Coregonus clupeaformis (lake whitefish)
Lineage: Eukaryota; Metazoa; Chordata; Actinopteri; Salmoniformes; Salmonidae
Exons: 3
Source: RefSeq, a predicted model, not a curated record